AUCGUUUCUUGGCCUUUUGGCUAAGAUCAAGUGUAGUAUCUGUUCUUAGCAGUUUAAAACAGAAAGGCAAUGGGGAGCCUGGGUGGCUCAGUCAGUUAAACGUCCGACUGAGGUCAUGAUCUCACAGCUUGUGAGUUCAAGCCCUC
The sequence is a small nuclear RNA, 146 nucleotides long. Its record names the gene U2. It matches the Rfam family "U2 spliceosomal RNA". From Rfam's summary of the family: U2 is a small nuclear RNA (snRNA) component of the spliceosome (involved in pre-mRNA splicing). The record is from Ensembl.